Molecule: ribosomal RNA, 363 nt
Filed under: Triticum aestivum (bread wheat)
Lineage: Eukaryota; Viridiplantae; Streptophyta; Magnoliopsida; Poales; Poaceae
Description: partial small subunit ribosomal RNA
Source: RNAcentral
AUGCACCAUGCCAACCCCACUAUGCAUGAACAUAUGCAGGUCAAAUUGUCCACCAUUAUCCAAUCUGAACUUUCUCCAGAUAGAUGUCACUUGACAGACAAUCAGAAGCCCGAGGCGGAGCAAAUAAUAACAAGCUUCUCUGUUGAUAAAUCUGCUAGUUAUGUAUCAGUCUGGACGUGGCGAGCGAGCUUUCGGCCCGGCUCGCGGCCCGCUAAGGACCGGACCGUUCGGUCCUGGCCCGCUGAUAAAAAUGGCCGGUCCGGUCUGCAGAAACAGGCCCGAAAACAAGUCGGUCCGGUCCUGUUUUUAUCCGAGCUGGCUCGGUCGGACCGCGACAUUUGGCCCAGGCGCAUAGCCCAGUAG